UGUACUUGAUUCAAAUGCGAUGUGGGGACGGAGAAGGUUAGGUUGGCAAGCUGUUGGAAUAGCUUGUUUAAGCCGGUAGGUGGAAGACUUAGGCAAAUCCGGGUCUUCUUAACACCGAGAAGUGACGACGAGUGUCUACGGACACGAAGCAACCGAUACCACGCUUCCAGGAAAAGCCACUAAGCUUCAGUUUGAAUCGAACCG
This 204-nucleotide ribosomal RNA is filed under the name Neisseria meningitidis. Its description in RNAcentral is "partial 23S rRNA". It matches the Rfam family "Bacterial large subunit ribosomal RNA", at positions 1440 to 1644 of the family's 2925-position model. Lineage: Bacteria; Pseudomonadati; Pseudomonadota; Betaproteobacteria; Neisseriales; Neisseriaceae. The record is from RNAcentral.